This 253-nucleotide ribosomal RNA is filed under the name uncultured bacterium. RNAcentral describes it as "partial 16S ribosomal RNA". It matches the Rfam family "Bacterial small subunit ribosomal RNA", at positions 524 to 776 of the family's 1533-position model. The record is from RNAcentral.
UACGUAGGGGGCAAGCGUUGUCCGGAUUUAUUGGGCGUAAAGAGCGUGUAGGCGGCUAGGUAGGUCCGUUGUGAAAACUCGAGGCUCAACUUCGAGACGCCGGUGGAAACCAUCAGACUAGAGUCCGGAAGAGGAGAGUGGAAUUCCUGGUGUAGCGGUGAAAUGCGCAGAUAUCAGGAAGAACACCCGUGGCUAAGGCGGCUCUCUAGUACGGUACUGACGCUGAGACGCGAAAGCGUGGGGAGCGAACAGG